Molecule: long non-coding RNA, 544 nt
Organism: Homo sapiens (human)
Lineage: Eukaryota; Metazoa; Chordata; Mammalia; Primates; Hominidae
Source: Ensembl
GUGUCUUUUUUUUUUUUUGGAGACGGAGUUUCGCUCUUGUUGCCCAGGCUGGAGUUCAAUGGCAUGAUCUCGGCUCACCACAACCUCUGCCUCCCGGGUUCAAGCGAUUCUCCUACCUCAGCCUCCCAAGUAGCUGAGAUUACAGGCAUGUGCCACUACGUCUGGAUAAUUUUUUGUAUUUUUAGUAGAGACGGGGUUUCUCCAUGUUGGCCAAGGCAAGCGUAUCACUUGAGGUCAGGAGUUCAAGACCAGCCUGGCCAACGUGGUGAAACUGCAUCUCUACCAAAAAAUACAAAAAUUGGCCGGGUGUGGUGGCGCACACCUGUAGUCCCAGCUACUCAGGAGGCUGAGGUGGGAGAAUCGCCUGAACCUGGGAGGUGAAGGUUGCAGUGAGCUGAGAUCACACCACUGCACUCCAGUCUGGGUGACAAAGUGAGACCCUGUCUCAAAACAAAAACAAACAAAAAAACCCAAUGAAGUCUUUAGUUCUUUCCCUGUCUUACUAUCACCACUAUUUCAGACAUUAUUUCAUGUCUGUGCAUUA